Small nuclear RNA from Mesocricetus auratus (golden hamster), 107 nucleotides. NCBI's taxonomy places the organism in Eukaryota, Metazoa, Chordata, Mammalia, Rodentia, Cricetidae. The record is from Ensembl.
CUGCCAGCCUGGGCAUUAGUGUAGCUAUAUGAUAAACGAUACAGAGAAGAUUAGCAUGGCCACUACUCAAGGAUGACAAGCACAUUCAUGAAGCAUUCUAUAUGUUU